CCUACGGGCGGCUGCAGUGGGGAAUAUUGCACAAUGGGCGCAAGCCUGAUGCAGCCAUGCCGCGUGUGUGAAGAAGGCUUCGGGUUGUAAAGCACUUUCAGCGGGGAGGAAGGCGUUAAGGUUAAUAACCUUGGCGAUUGACGUUACCCGCAGAAGAAGCACCGGCUAACUCCGUGCCAGCAGCCGCGGUAAUACGGAGGGUGCAAGCGUUAAUCGGAAUUACUGGGCGUAAAGCGCACGCAGGCGGUCUGUCAAGUCGGAUGUGAAAUCCCCGGGCUCAACCUGGGAACUGCAUUCGAAACUGGCAGGCUAGAGUCUUGUAGAGGGGGGUAGAAUUCCAGGUGUAGCGGUGAAAUGCGUAGAGAUCUGGAGGAAUACCGGUGGCGAAGGCGGCCCCCUGGACAAAGACUGACGCUCAGGUGCGAAAGUGUGGGGAGCAAACAGGAUUAGAUACCCCUGUAGUC
RNAcentral lists this ribosomal RNA (464 nucleotides) under uncultured Klebsiella sp. Its description in RNAcentral is "bacterial SSU rRNA". It matches the Rfam family "Bacterial small subunit ribosomal RNA", at positions 338 to 795 of the family's 1533-position model. The record is from RNAcentral. Lineage: Bacteria; Pseudomonadati; Pseudomonadota; Gammaproteobacteria; Enterobacterales; Enterobacteriaceae.